GUUUGUGCCCCUGGCUCUAUCAGUAGGAAGUCGUCUAGGCAGUGAAUAACGGAGUGACACCUGAGGACGUUCAGAAGCAGCCAGCAUAGUGUCUCAGCGAAGAUAUCGAAAAGUUUGGGGCUGCUUCGAGAACCGAAAGUGAGUCGUGUGGAGAAGUAGUACUUUCCUCGCCAUUUAACACCGUGCAAGUGCCAGAGUGAGGGGUGCAUG
This is a non-coding RNA of Pelobates cultripes (western spadefoot toad), 210 nucleotides long. NCBI's taxonomy places the organism in Eukaryota, Metazoa, Chordata, Amphibia, Anura, Pelobatidae. The record is from the annotation of a GenBank genome assembly.